GAUGAACGCUGGCGGCGUGCUUAACACAUGCAAGUCGAACGGAAAGGCCCAAGCUUGCUUGGGUACUCGAGUGGCGAACGGGUGAGUAACACGUGGGUGAUCUGCCCUGCACUUCGGGAUAAGCCUGGGAAACUGGGUCUAAUACCGGAUAGGACCACAUUUUGGAUGGUGUGGUGGAAAGUUUUUCGGUGUGGGAUGAGCUCGCGGCCUAUCAGCUUGUUGGUGGGGUAAUGGCCUACCAAGGCGUCGACGGGUAGCCGGCCUGAGAGGGUGUACGGCCGCAUUGGGACUGAGAUACGGGCCAGACUCCUACGGGAGGCAGCAGGGGGGAAUAUUGCACAAUGGGCGCAAGCCUGAUGCAGCGACGCCGCGUGGGGGAUGACGGCCUUCGGGUUGUAAACUCCUUUCGCUAGGGACGAAGCGUUUUUGUGACGGUACCUGGAGAAGAAGCACCGGCUAACUACGUG
RNAcentral lists this ribosomal RNA (467 nucleotides) under uncultured bacterium. Its description in RNAcentral is "partial 16S ribosomal RNA". It matches the Rfam family "Bacterial small subunit ribosomal RNA", at positions 28 to 507 of the family's 1533-position model. The record is from RNAcentral.